GCUGGCGGCAGGCCUAACACAUGCAAGUCGAGCGGAUGAAGGGAGCUUGCUCCUGGAUUUAGCGGCGGACGGGUGAGUAAAGCCUAGGAAUCUGCCUGGUAGUGGGGGACAACGACUCGAAAGGGUCGCUAAUACCGCAUACGUCCUACGGGAGAAAGUGGGGGAUCUUCGGACCUCACGCUAUCAGAUGAGCCUAGGUCGGAUUAGCUAGUAGGUGAGGUAAUGGCUCACCUAGGCGACGAUCCGUAACUGGUCUGAGAGGAUGAUCAGUCACACUGGAACUGAGACACGGUCCAGACUCCUACGGGAGGCAGCAGUGGGGAAUAUUGGACAAUGGGCGAAAGCCUGAUCCAGCCAUGCCGCGUGUGUGAAGAAGGUCUUCGGAUUGUAAAGCACUUUAAGUUGGGAGGAAGGGUUGUAGUUUAAUACGCUGCAACUUUGACGUUACCAACAGAAUAAGCACCGGCUAACUCUGUGCCAGCAGCCGCGGUAAUACAGAGGGUGCAAGCGUUAAUCGGAAUUACUGGGCGUAAAGCGCGCGUAGGCGGCUUGAUAAGAUGGGUGUGAAAUCCCCGGGCUUAACCUGGGAACUGCAUCCAUAACUGUCUGGCUAGAGUACAGUAGAGGGUGGUGGAAUUUCCUGUGUAGCGGUGAAAUGCGUAGAUAUAGGAAGGAACACCAGUGGCGAAGGCGACCACCUGGACUGAUACUG
Molecule: ribosomal RNA, 712 nt
Filed under: Pseudomonas sp. M9-7
Lineage: Bacteria; Pseudomonadati; Pseudomonadota; Gammaproteobacteria; Pseudomonadales; Pseudomonadaceae
Description: bacterial SSU rRNA
Rfam family: Bacterial small subunit ribosomal RNA
Source: RNAcentral